UUGCUCGCUUCAGCAGCAAAUAUACUAAAAUUGGAAUGAUACAGAGAAGAUUAGCAUGCCCCUUGUACAAGGAUGACACACAAAUUCGUGAAGCAUUUUU
Molecule: small nuclear RNA, 100 nt
Organism: Homo sapiens (human)
Lineage: Eukaryota; Metazoa; Chordata; Mammalia; Primates; Hominidae
Source: Ensembl